Non-coding RNA from Pelobates cultripes (western spadefoot toad), 981 nucleotides. The record is from the annotation of a GenBank genome assembly. NCBI's taxonomy places the organism in Eukaryota, Metazoa, Chordata, Amphibia, Anura, Pelobatidae.
CUCUGACACGGGGUUGACUCACUCUGUGUUAACUCUGACAAGGGGUUGACUCACUCUGUGCUCCCUCUGACAAGGGGGGACCACUCUUUGCUCCCUCUGACAAGGGGGUGACACACUACUCUCCCACCAAUGAAAGGAGCAGAGUAGAGAGCUGACUGCUUUUCUGGUGGCAUGUGGAAAACACACUGUGGGCAUGAGUAGUUGUCUGCACUGCUGUCCUCAUACGAGACACUCUGCCUGGGGUUUGGAGACCCACUAUUUUUAUUUUUUUUUAAGCGGGUGCAAUAGUCAGUUUCUAUUAGAGAAUGGUGUUUUUCUAGGUGGCUACUAGCAUGGUGGGUCGGUACGUACUCCUAUGCUGUUGGCAAAGGUUAGGGAAUUUUGCAUACUGGAACAUACUUCCUGUAGCCGCCACUUGUGAGGUGAGGUGGUACAAUACAUACUGUAUUGGUGGAAGACCUUGCAUAGAGUGACCUAUACUGUCCUGCCAUUUUCCGGUGGGAUUUAUACUGUUUUGAUGCUUUUUGAAGGUCUUUAAAUUCCAUUUGGCUGCCACAGGAGUGUCAACUGAUCAGCCACCAUUAAAACACACAUACUAAUAUGUUGUGGGACACAAAAUGAUAUGCCAUUAGCAUGUUGGACACACACUCUUGACAUUGCCGUACACACUGAUCAGCACAAAGGGAUGAUGCACAGGGGUAGACCUGCCGUACCAUAUUUCGGGACACAUUGCUGUAUCACUUUUAUGAGGGAGACACACUGACAGAGGCAUUCACCAAAGUGUGAAUUGUCAGGACUUCAAAGUGAAUUUUCAGUUUUCAGCCAUCAGCACAGAGGCAUUCGUUAACACACGGCAGAACACAAUGUUCUGCAUUUGCUUCACAGUUAGUACAUGCAAGCUCAUUUUUAAACACACAAUGCUAGUGAAAAUGUAGUAAAACUAAAAAAUUUGGAAAAUUCUCUAUCUUCGCUAUAGCCACA